GCGCCUGUAGCUCAGAUGGAUAGAGCAUCGGCCUCCGGAGCCGAGUGCACCGGUUCAACUCCGGUCAGGCGCA
RNAcentral lists this transfer RNA (73 nucleotides) under Elusimicrobia bacterium CG1_02_37_114. RNAcentral's name for it is "tRNA-Arg". It matches the Rfam family "tRNA". From Rfam's summary of the family: Transfer RNA (tRNA) molecules are approximately 80 nucleotides in length. RNAcentral also lists the same sequence under 2 other names. The record is from RNAcentral. Lineage: Bacteria; Pseudomonadati; Elusimicrobiota.